Long non-coding RNA from Juglans regia (Persian walnut), 424 nucleotides. RefSeq lists it as uncharacterized. The record is from RefSeq and is a predicted model, not a curated record. The transcript has 3 exons. Lineage: Eukaryota; Viridiplantae; Streptophyta; Magnoliopsida; Fagales; Juglandaceae.
CUCAAAUUAAAAACUCAAGUCCAAUAUUGAGUGAGCGUAGGAGUGGAGGCAACAAUGAAAAUUUAAAUGAACCUGCUGUAGAAGAUGUGGCAUCACCUGCAACCGAAACUGCCAAACCACCAAGACAGGAUCAAGGGCUAGCGAAAUGUAUUGAGUUUGAUAAGCUUCGGAAGCACGGAAAAUAUCUUUGAAAAUUAACGAUGGGCAAACCUCACCUUGCUGCGAAAAUGCAACGGUGUUUACAACACGGGUCACAUGGAUCUUAAAGAAUCAUGGGGACAUGAGUUACCCACGAUGGACUAAUGUACCCAUGGUUGAGAAGGAAGAGCUAAUGAACCAUGUCCGGGUUGACUUCAUAUUAGACUGGGAUUUGGACAAUCACUGCAAGGCGGUGUGGAAACAGCUACGAAAGCGCUUCAAUGCU